This 1401-nucleotide ribosomal RNA is filed under the name uncultured bacterium. Its description in RNAcentral is "bacterial SSU rRNA". It matches the Rfam family "Bacterial small subunit ribosomal RNA". The record is from RNAcentral.
AGAGUUUGAUCCUGGCUCAGGAUGAACGCUAGCUACAGGCUUAACACAUGCAAGUCGAGGGGCAGCAUGGUCUUAGCUUGCUAAGACCGAUGGCGACCGGCGCACGGGUGAGUAACGCGUAUCCAACCUCCCCCACAGUAGCGGAUAGCCCGGCGAAAGUCGGAUUAAUACGCUAUGUGGUGCAGUAUUGGCAUCAUGGCCGCACGAAAGAUUUAUCGCUGUGGGAUGGGGAUGCGUCUGAUUAGCUUGUCGGCGGGGUAACGGCCCACCGAGGCGACGAUCAGUAGGGGUUCUGAGAGGAAGGUCCCCCACAUUGGUACUGAGACACGGACCAAACUCCUACGGGAGGCAGCAGUGAGGAAUAUUGGUCAAUGGCCGGAAGGCUGAACCAGCCAAGUAGCGUGCAGGACGACGGCCCUACGGGUUGUAAACUGCUUUUAUAGGGGAAUAAAGUGUGGUACGUGUACCGUUUUGUAUGUACCCUAUGAAUAAGGACCGGCUAAUUCCGUGCCAGCAGCCGCGGUAAUACGGAAGGUCCGGGCGUUAUCCGGAUUUAUUGGGUUUAAAGGGAGCGCAGGCGGGACCUUAAGCGUGUUGUGAAAUGUACCGGCUCAACCGGUGAUGUGCAGCGCGAACUGGGGUUCUUGAGUGGGUACGACGUCGGCGGAAUUCGUGGUGUAGCGGUGAAAUGCUUAGAUAUCACGAGGAACCCCGAUUGCGAAGGCAGCCGACGAGUCCCUUACUGACGCUAAUGCUCGAAAGUGCGGGUAUCGAACAGGAUUAGAUACCCUGGUAGUCCGCACGGUAAACGAUGGAUGCCCGCUGUUGGCCAUACAAAUGUCAGCGGCCAAGCGAAAGCGUUAAGCAUCCCACCUGGGGAGUACGCCGGCAACGGUGAAACUCAAAGGAAUUGACGGGGGCCCGCACAAGCGGAGGAACAUGUGGUUUAAUUCGAUGAUACGCGAGGAACCUUACCCGGGCUUGAACUGCAGCUGAACGAUUCAGAGAUGAUGAGGCCCUUCGGGGCAGCUGUGGAGGUGCUGCAUGUUUGUCGUCAGCUCGUGCCGUGAGGUGUCGGCUUAAGUGCCAUAACGAGCGCAACCCCUGUCUUCAGUUGCCAUCAGGUGAAGCUGGGCACUCUGUAGAGACUGCCACCGUAAGGUGUGAGGAAGGUGGGGAUGACGUCAAAUCAGCACGGCCCUUACGUCCGGGGCUACACACGUGUUACAAUGGCCGGUACAGAGGGCAGCCACCCUGCGAGGGGGAGCGAAUCUCGAAAGCCGGCCUCAGUUCGGAUCGGAGUCUGCAACUCGACUCCGUGAAGUUGGAUUCGCUAGUAAUCGCGCAUCAGCCAUGGCGCGGUGAAUACGUUCCCGGGCCUUGCACUCAAAGCCCGUCAAG